Molecule: long non-coding RNA, 2024 nt
Organism: Equus asinus (donkey)
Lineage: Eukaryota; Metazoa; Chordata; Mammalia; Perissodactyla; Equidae
Source: Ensembl
UAAAAGCCUUCAAAUCAAUAUCUAGUUUUAAAAUAUGUGAAUGAUUUCUUUUGUAAGAACUGCAUUCUGGAAAUAAUGAUCCAAUCUGGCAGAAAACAAGCUGAGUUAUGUCAAAUUGGGGUUUGGGUAGGGUUAGAUGUGACUAAUCCUUUAUUACUUUAAGGGAUUAGAAAAUAAGAUCUCCUUGCUUUUUAAAAAUUUUCACUCAGGUUCUUCAAAGAUGGAUCUUGAUCACCAUUAAAGCUCCUGCCAUGGUGACCAUGCUUUGAGAUAACUCAGAGGAAUGAGCCAGCAAGAUAUCGCCUUUCCAGUCUCCUCUAGUAUAACAAUUAGAAUGUGAAUCUGAGCCAAGAGAAUUAUAACAAUUGCACAGAGUCAAAUGGCAGGAAAACCAGGUUUUAUUCCUCACACCUCGACUGUCAUUUGUGAACCCCUGUGGAGAGUCUAGAGACUGUGAAGAAUGUCAUAAAUUAGUGCAGAUGAUCUUUAUGCAAAGUGGACAGAGGUGUGGAAUCGCUGUAAAAAGAAUAUUUAUCUAGUAAUUUGAAAGUCUUGUUUGAGAUGUCAGUACACGUAGAAAGACAAAUUGGACAGGCUUGAAAGUUCCAGUUCAGCUAAUUUACCAUAGCUUGUUAAGUUGACCCUAAAUAGGGGGAGAUCGAUUAUUUCCAGUUGCGGUUCUAUGGUAUCAUUAGAACAGCCCAGAUUUGGCCUUUGUGUCAUCUGUUAAAACGGGUGGUGUGUGGAAAUGAUGAGGCCUUGUUAGCCAUAAAUCAAAUUAUAAUGAAAACCUGAAAUCCCAGUAUAAUGCCUGUUGUUAGUUGCAAUGAGAUUUUGAUAAAACACAAAGCCUAUUACAUCUAAAGGAUGAAUACCAUGUUAUUAAUCAGAAUUCCAGCUGCUGUUAAUUUCUAUUUUUAUAUUUAAUUUUUGUUAAUUAAGGAACAGUGUAUUUAUUCAGAGAAAAGACAAUACUUCAUUAAAUAGCUGUUUCAUACAACCGAAAAAGGAAGAUUAUUUGACACCAACUGUGGCAAACAGCAUGUAUUCAUUUGAGAAAGUAUUUGGGGGGAAAUCUUUGCCUACAGAAUAUUGAAUAGAGUGUUUAUAUAUAUAUAUUUAUUGCUUGUUCUCUGUUCCUCUGGAAAUCAUUAAACAUUUUCUCCAGAUGAGGAAGCCUGUUAUCUCUAUUUCUUCAUGAAUUAUUGAAAAAAAUGAUCCAAGUAACACUUCAGGUGUCAGUUCCAUGCUAGGAUGACGUACAGUGCAAUCCAUUGUGACCUUGAGGUGAAUUAACUCAACCCUGAUGAAAUUUGUUGAAGAUAAAAUUGGGAGAUGCAGUCAAAGCAUGAAAAAUGCAAAAGAACCUGAUUAAGUUUUCUUCCUCUAAAGAGGACUGUCAACUUCUUUAGAAGAGGGGGCCCUAUCUUGUUCAUCUUUGUAACCCCUGUGCACCAUGUGGAUCUUAGUUAGAACACAGCAGAUGAUCAAUGGAUGUCGAGUAAUGAAUAUGCCAACAGAAGUGAAAGUGUUGCAUGUUUUUGCUUAGUCCUGAUACUGGGGAGUCACCAGUCCUGUCAACAAAACUUGAGAAGGGUAGAGUGAAAACAACAUGGGGGAAACUGAAUUCUAGAACUGAGUGAAGAGAAAGAAUAUCCAGGCUAAUGGAAGGAGCUAGAAAAUCUCAUCUUUGGUCAGUGUAAGAACUAGAGUAUUGAAAGUCAAGGCCAACAGAAAAUGACAAAGAAGCAAGAGGAAAAGAUCAAUAUGUUAGGAGUUCCAAGCAAGAGUAAGUUCACUUGAAAUUUUAAGACCUCACCCCUUUCAAGGUUUCUCUACUGAACUUCCAGAGGAAAUACUUGGAGUUUUCGAGAGAUGAAAUUCUGGAAACUAUUUAGCUAGACCUAAUUCUAUAGGAGUUUGUUGGUAGGGGGAAAUGAAAGAUUUCUUGGGAGAAAAUAACUAAGCCAUUUUAGAGUUUGUGAUAACCAUGGAUGGGGGAACUUUAGAUGCACGUAAGAGAC